GGAGGAUGCGAGCGUUAUCCGGAUUUAUUGGGUUUAAAGGGAGCGUAGACGGGUUUUUAAGUCAGCUGUGAAAGUUUGGGGCUCAACCUUAAAAUUGCAGUUGAAACUGGAGACCUUGAGUACGGUUGAGGCAGGCGGAAUUCGUGGUGUAGCGGUGAAAUGCUUAGAUAUCACGAAGAACCCCGAUUGCGAAGGCAGCCUGCUAAGCCGCCACUGACGUUGAGGCUCGAAAGUGCGGGUAUCAAACAGGAUUAGAUACCCUGGUAGUCCGCACGGUAAACGAUGGAUACUCGCUGUUGGCGAUAGACGGUCAGCGGCCAAGCGAAAGCGUUAAGUAUCCCACCUGGGGAGUACGCCGGCAACGGUG
RNAcentral lists this ribosomal RNA (367 nucleotides) under uncultured bacterium. Its description in RNAcentral is "bacterial SSU rRNA". It matches the Rfam family "Bacterial small subunit ribosomal RNA", at positions 527 to 896 of the family's 1533-position model. The record is from RNAcentral.